This 307-nucleotide ribosomal RNA is filed under the name uncultured eukaryote. RNAcentral describes it as "partial 18S ribosomal RNA". It matches the Rfam family "Eukaryotic small subunit ribosomal RNA", at positions 1470 to 1796 of the family's 1831-position model. The record is from RNAcentral.
CCCUUAGACGUUCUGGGCCGCACGCGCGCUACACUGACACAGGCAACGAGCUUUCCUUUACCGAAAGGUAUGGGUAAUCUUUUGAAAUUGUGUCGUGCUGGGGAUAGAUCCUUGCAAUUUUUGAUCUUAAACGAGGAAUUCCUAGUAAGCGCGAGUCAUCAACUCGCGUUGAUUACGUCCCUGCCCUUUGUACACACCGCCCGUCGCUACUACCGAUUGAAUGGCUUAGUGAGGCCUCAGGAUCCGCGCUUAAUGUGUGGAGAAUUUGGACAAACUACGUCAUUUAGAGGAAGUAAAAGUCGUAACA